This 403-nucleotide unclassified non-coding RNA is filed under the name Zea mays. RNAcentral describes it as "misc RNA Zm00001eb430760". Lineage: Eukaryota; Viridiplantae; Streptophyta; Magnoliopsida; Poales; Poaceae. The record is from RNAcentral.
CGCUGAGCAGGAGCAGGAGGCUGAGGUGGCCCGGGGCCGCGACCUGCGCCGCGCCAGAGCCGGAGACGGAGGAGCCUUGGAUCUUGCCGCCGCCGUGGCCCGGCGGGACGAGCUGGGGCUUGAGGAGGGGGCUCGGGGGCAACUUGCAGGACGGCGUUGUGAGCUUGGGCAGGAGGAACGCCAUGGCUCCCUGCUUCUUGCUCCUCGGUUUCUCUGGUCCCCUCUGCUUCGUCUACGAGGCUCGGUGUCCCAUGGAGAAGCUUCCAAAUCCAAUGGGGGCUGCGUUCUCGGGAGCCUGCGUUCGUGGGUUCGUGUGUGUAGAGAAGAGGAAGAGGAUUUGAGUGGCUCUGAAAGCUGCAGCGAAGCCUGUGGAGGAAAGAUCGUUGCUCUGAGUCACACUGGU